UUAUCAUGCAUCAUUGCCCUAUGUUGUGGUUUCUAUCUACUUGCACAACAACAAGCUAAUCCUAACCAGGAAGAACAAGCAUGCAAGCAUCAAUCAAAAUAAAACAAACAUUUCAAGCAAAUAUUCACAAAGCACACACUAUAUCCAGUCAAGUGAGGCUCAAACAAAGGGUUCGACUGCCGAGGCAAGUCAUCUGUACAAGGGUAGAGUUAGCUCUUAACCUUGCCAUUG
Molecule: long non-coding RNA, 231 nt
Filed under: Lathyrus oleraceus (garden pea)
Lineage: Eukaryota; Viridiplantae; Streptophyta; Magnoliopsida; Fabales; Fabaceae
Description: Pisum sativum (pea) long non-coding RNA (PSAT_LNC012559)
Source: RNAcentral